CCUACGGGCGGCAGCAGUGAGGAAUAUUGGUCAAUGGACGAGAGUCUGAACCAGCCAAGUAGCGUGAAGGAUGACGGCCCUAUGGGUUGUAAACUUCUGUUAUAAAGGAAUAAAACGCGGCACGUGUGCCUUUUUGCAUGUACUUUAUGAAUAAGGAUCGGCUAACUCCGUGCCAGCAGCCGCGGUAAUACGGAGGAUCCGAGCGUUAUCCGGAUUGAUUGGGUUUAAAGGGAGCGUAGAUGGUUUGUUAAGUCGGUUGUGAAAGUUUGCGGCUCAACCGUAAAGUUGCCAUUGAUACUGGCAGUCUUGAGUACAGUUGAGGUAGGCGGAAUUCGUUGUGUAGCGGU
This 347-nucleotide ribosomal RNA is filed under the name uncultured bacterium. RNAcentral's name for it is "partial 16S ribosomal RNA". It matches the Rfam family "Bacterial small subunit ribosomal RNA", at positions 338 to 682 of the family's 1533-position model. The record is from RNAcentral.